RNAcentral lists this ribosomal RNA (253 nucleotides) under uncultured bacterium. RNAcentral describes it as "partial 16S ribosomal RNA". It matches the Rfam family "Bacterial small subunit ribosomal RNA", at positions 524 to 776 of the family's 1533-position model. The record is from RNAcentral.
UACGUAGGGUGCGAGCGUUAAUCGGAAUUACUGGGCGUAAAGCGUGCGCAGGCGGUUUGUUAAGUCAGAUGUGAAAGCCCCGGGCUCAACCUGGGAACUGCAUUUGAAACUGGCGGGCUUGAGUGCGGCAGGGGGGGGUGGAAUUCCGCGUGUAGCAGUGAAAUGCGUAGAUAUGCGGAGGAACACCGAUGGCGAAGGCAAUCCCCUGGGCCUGCACUGACGCUCAUGCACGAAAGCGUGGGGAGCAAACAGG